UGCAGGCAGCUUCACGUGGGUGCCGACUACUUUGGCGGGUCUAAUCGAGCCGUAGUAAAUAAAUUUGAUACUCUUUGAGUUAGUUAGGUGUAUAUUUUUUUAAAGAGAGAGAGAGAAUUCAAUUUUAUGAAUAAUUUAAAUACAGCUACUGAUGGGACCCAUACACAACAAAUAGAAUCGAAUUGGCGCCGGGCAAAGCAUUGGUUGAGGGAGAGGAAUCGUUUACAGGACGACGAAUUUGCUCAUCGUUUAUGAGAAUUUCUGUGGCGACGGUUUUGCCGUCAUAAUAAAAUAGAUCUGAUGAGAUCUAUGAUGGAGGCGAUUCGGCGACAAUAUGUUUUUCAUUAAGACACGUGCAAGACGAACGAAGCUUCGAAGAGGAAUACUCUACUGCGUCACAAGCGACGUGUCUGAUUGGUCGAAAUGAAAGGAUGCCGAAUGAAACAACCAAUCACAGCCAUUGGUAGAAGUUUCGAAACUGUAAUGUUAAUCGUAAUAGAAUCGUUCAUACAAUAAAUAUCAGCGAAAAAA
Molecule: non-coding RNA, 531 nt
Organism: Osmia lignaria (orchard mason bee)
Lineage: Eukaryota; Metazoa; Arthropoda; Insecta; Hymenoptera; Megachilidae
Source: RefSeq, a predicted model, not a curated record